Molecule: long non-coding RNA, 298 nt
Organism: Papilio polytes (common Mormon)
Lineage: Eukaryota; Metazoa; Arthropoda; Insecta; Lepidoptera; Papilionidae
Exons: 3
Source: RefSeq, a predicted model, not a curated record
ACUGGAGCCGCGGGGGUGCGGGGGCGGUCAAGGCCGCGGGCGCCGCGCCUCAGUACGUCCCGAACUACCAUCGCGAGCGCACGUUCGUUGGUCAAAGUCCCAGUGUCAGUGUUUGUGGUACAGUUAACCGGUGCCGCCAGGUCGUCGACCGCGCGAGUAUGAGUGCGCAGCCCCCGCCCCUCCGCACCCUUUCUCACUGACAGACACACACCAGUCCGAAGCGGAGACGAGCUGUGGAAUUCGAGCGAUGCGGGGCUGGUGCGCGCGCUGGAGCGGCGGAGGGCGCGGCCGGCUGCGC